Molecule: ribosomal RNA, 313 nt
Filed under: uncultured bacterium
Lineage: Bacteria
Description: bacterial SSU rRNA
Rfam family: Bacterial small subunit ribosomal RNA
Source: RNAcentral
CAAGGCCUGCCGCUUGGAGCCGAGCCCGUGCACUAUCAGCUGGUUGGCGGGGUAACGGCCCACCAAGGCGAUGACGGUUAGCUGGUCUGAGAGGAUGGUCAGCCACACUGGGACUGAGAUACUGCCCCAGACUCCUACGGGAGGCUGCAGUCGAGAAUCAUUCGCAAUGGGCGGAAGCCUGACGGUGCGACGUCGCGUGGAGGAUGAAGGUCUUCGGAUUGUAAACUCCUGUCAUGUGGAAUAAACGGCCUCGGUGCGAACAGCACGGAGGAGUGAUAGUACCACAGGAGGAAGAGACGGCUAACUCUGUGCC